GAAGCAGAUCACUGAGGAGGAUCUUCACAUUGAUAAGAAGCAGAAAACAGAGAAUCAACAGUUUUUUUUUUUUUAAAAUUAGUAUUUAGUUUUUACCUUUAGAUCUUCGUGUAUUUCUCUUUUAAUCUGAAAUUUAUUUAUGAUACCUAGGAUGAGGCAGCUAAAGCUCCUCGGUCUCUAAAAAAGCCUCGCAAAAAUAAACAGAAGCUGGAAAAGGUCGAAUUCGAAGAUAAUUUCGGUUUAAGCUCAGGUAUUUUGGUUUGCCCGCCAAUUUGCUGCCAUAUGUAUCCGAACAUAUAUGAUGCUGAAGGAGACAGACACUCUAAAAAAUGGAUCCUUGAACAACAACACAAACGCGUAGUCGCAAUGAAGAAUCUAAGGAGGUGGUACUAGUGCAGUAUUAGUAGUACGCUUUGAUUAUCCCUAGCUUUAACCCUAAUAUAACAAUAGUUCAGAAUCUUAAUUUGCUUAUUGGUAUGUACUAGUAAAGACUGAAUUUUUAUGUUAGUGAAUGUAUUAAGUAACUUGGAAUCUAAUUAUCUAAAUGCUAUGCUUAUCUAAUCAACUUAUUUGCCGUC
This is a long non-coding RNA of Nicotiana attenuata, 578 nucleotides long. RefSeq lists it as uncharacterized. The transcript has 2 exons. NCBI's taxonomy places the organism in Eukaryota, Viridiplantae, Streptophyta, Magnoliopsida, Solanales, Solanaceae. The record is from RefSeq and is a predicted model, not a curated record.